Long non-coding RNA from Rhodamnia argentea, 336 nucleotides. RefSeq lists it as uncharacterized. The transcript is spliced from 2 exons. The record is from RefSeq and is a predicted model, not a curated record. NCBI's taxonomy places the organism in Eukaryota, Viridiplantae, Streptophyta, Magnoliopsida, Myrtales, Myrtaceae.
GCGAUUUCGGCCAUAACAUGAUCUGAUGGAUGGAUCGAGUGAGGACAAGGCCUCCGAGAUGAACUGCUAGAAAUCGAAGAGUAAAUGCCGCUUCGGCUAGGUUAAGACCGGAGGAUUAUUUGUAUUUUGAAUAAGUUUGCUAAUUUGAUUAAGCUUCCUAGUUCAAGUUAGUUUCUCAGUUUUGAGUGGUCUUCGAAAUUAAUGUUUGGUGCAUUCUCUAUUGGGAUGGAAGGAUGCAGAUUUUGAUUUGGCAAUGUAUGAGAAUUCCUCUCCAGUGUGGAGUUCAUUAUGCUCUUUAUUCAAUUCUUUGGUGAUGAAUAUUAGAAUCUUUUCUUU